AAGAGUUUGAUCAUGGCUCAGAUUGAACGCUGGCGGCAGGCCUAACACAUGCAAGUCGAGCGGUAGCACAGAGAGCUUGCUCUCGGGUGACGAGCGGCGGACGGGUGAGUAAUGUCUGGGAAACUGCCUGAUGGAGGGGGAUAACUACUGGAAACGGUAGCUAAUACCGCAUAACGUCGCAAGACCAAAGUGGGGGGACCUUCGGGCCUCAUGCCAUCAGAUGUGCCCAGAUGGGAUUAGCUAGUAGGUGGGG
RNAcentral lists this ribosomal RNA (253 nucleotides) under Klebsiella pneumoniae. Its description in RNAcentral is "partial 16S ribosomal RNA". It matches the Rfam family "Bacterial small subunit ribosomal RNA", at positions 1 to 257 of the family's 1533-position model. Lineage: Bacteria; Pseudomonadati; Pseudomonadota; Gammaproteobacteria; Enterobacterales; Enterobacteriaceae. The record is from RNAcentral.